AUGGCGCGAGAUGCUGGACUCCCACGCGUGGACAAUGAACUUGAUACGAAGUGCUGCAAAAUUGUCACCAUCCAACAAGUCGAUUCGUCUGCUUUCUCAACGUGGAUUGGGCAGAUGGAGGAUUGUGAAAUGCCGAGUCCGACGCCGUCACGGAUGGGCGUAAAAUUGCCCUGCCAAAACGAAGCUCACAUGAGUAGUGUCCGCAUAUCCAUGGUCCGCGAGCAACUCCGCCGCGUCAUCGACGAAGAUAGCUACGCGCCGCACUACGUGCCAAUAGGCCCUUACCACCGCAGUCGCUCGUCUCCAUGGAUCGAGAAAACGAAGAAGCGCUCUGCCGGCUUCCUGCAAAGCCUGUCCGAGGAACAUACGGAAGGUGGCCUCACGGGCGUGAUGGAGAAGCUGGAACCCCUCGCAAGGGAGCUCUACACCUCCGGCGGCGGGCUCGGCGACAUGACGCCGGAGCAGUCGUCGAGCAUGCUGCUGCACGACGCGUGCUAUCUGCUCCUCUUCUUCGUCGACUACAUGUCCGGCAACCGCGCUCCUCCAGCUCCAGCUGAUGAUGAUGAACAUCCGGUCAGCCGCAACACCUUGGUACGCGACGCCGUCUUCCUCCGCGAGAACCAGAUCCCUUUCUUCCUCCUCCAGGGUAUCCACGAGCGUGUCACGGGAGGCACCACCUCCGUCCUCGACUACAUAGCCAUGCCCAUCCAGGAGCUGCUGCAGCAGCAGCUCUUCAUCAGCAGGAAGCCCCGGCCGCCGCCACCGACGUGUUCUCACCUGCUGCACCUCGUGCACGCCUACUUCCGUCCCACGCUGCAGCCGACCAAGAGCGCGGCCAUGUGCGGCACGGUGGUGACGGGCCGGUGGCGCCGGGCGGCGGAGUACAGCAGGUACGCCAACGUUCGGCUCAUGCGCCGGGACUUCCAGGACGGCGUGGAGUCCUCUGUCCUGGACGUGCAGCUUGAAGGAGGCACGCUGUGGAUCCCUCGCCUGCGUGUGGACAGCAACACGUGGACGAUCCUUCGCAACCUGAUGGCGCUGGAGGAGCAGGCGCACCGGAGGCCGGUCACGGCGUACUGCCUCUUCAUGUCGCAGCUGGCCUGCACGGCGGAGGACGUCCAGCUCCUGCGGCGGGCAGGGAUCGUCGACCACUUCCUGGGCAACGACGAGCAGGUCUCUAAAGGCUUGGCUGGUCUCUGCAACGGGGUGGUCAUCGACAUCGACGACCUGGACAGGAACUACCUCAAGCCCAUGUGGCACCAGCUAGAGAACCGCUUCUACAGCCGUGCGGAACGAUUCAUAGGGGGGUUCCGCCACGGCCAGAGCUGGGAGAUCACUGCGGCGUUCCUCAUGGCUCUCAUCGUCAUCGCCUGUCAAGCGAUGCAAACGUUCUAUGCAGUUGCUCGCGGUGGACACUAA
RNAcentral lists this ribosomal RNA (1419 nucleotides) under Triticum aestivum (bread wheat). RNAcentral describes it as "partial small subunit ribosomal RNA". The record is from RNAcentral. Lineage: Eukaryota; Viridiplantae; Streptophyta; Magnoliopsida; Poales; Poaceae.